GAUGAACGCUGGCGGCGUGCCUAACACAUGUAAGUCGAACGGUCGUAGCAAUACGAUAGUGGCGCACGGGUGAGGAACACGUAGCUAACCUGCCCUCGAGUGUGGGAUAACGUCCCGAAAGGGAUGCUAAUACCGCAUAAGCUCACGCUGAGUAAGUAAGUGUGAGAAAAGAUUAAUCGCUUGAGGAGGGGGCUGCGGCCCAUCAGGUAGUUGGUGAGGUAACGGCUCACCAAGCCGACGACGGGUAGGGAACCUGAGAGGGUGGUUCCCCACACUGGCACUGAAACACGGGCCAGACACCUACGGGUGGCAG
This 313-nucleotide ribosomal RNA is filed under the name uncultured Chloroflexota bacterium. Its description in RNAcentral is "bacterial SSU rRNA". It matches the Rfam family "Bacterial small subunit ribosomal RNA", at positions 28 to 351 of the family's 1533-position model. Lineage: Bacteria; Bacillati; Chloroflexota. The record is from RNAcentral.